RNAcentral lists this ribosomal RNA (251 nucleotides) under uncultured bacterium. RNAcentral describes it as "partial 16S ribosomal RNA". It matches the Rfam family "Bacterial small subunit ribosomal RNA", at positions 525 to 775 of the family's 1533-position model. The record is from RNAcentral.
ACGUAGGUGGCAAGCGUUAUCCGGAUUUAUUGGGCGUAAAGAGAGUGCAGGCGGUUUUCUAAGUCUGAUGUGAAAGCCUUCGGCUUAACCGGAGAAGUGCAUCGGAAACUGGAUAACUUGAGUGCAGAAGAGGGUAGUGGAACUCCAUGUGUAGCGGUGGAAUGCGUAGAUAUAUGGAAGAACACCAGUGGCGAAGGCGGCUACCUGGUCUGCAACUGACGCUGAGACUCGAAAGCAUGGGUAGCGAACAG